RNAcentral lists this ribosomal RNA (519 nucleotides) under uncultured eukaryote. RNAcentral describes it as "SSU rRNA". It matches the Rfam family "Eukaryotic small subunit ribosomal RNA", at positions 1161 to 1704 of the family's 1831-position model. The record is from RNAcentral.
AGGGCACCACCAGGAGUGGAGCCUGCGGCUUAAUUUGACUCAACACGGGGAAACUCACCCGGCCCGGACACCGGAAGGAUUGACAGAUUGAUAGCUCUUUCUUGAUUCGGUGGAUGGUGGUGCAUGGCCGUUCUUAGUUGGUGGAGCGAUCUGUCUGGUUAAUUCCGAUAACGAACGAGACUCUAGCCUAUUAAAUAGACGUCGGGUUCUCUGCACUCGACGGUCUUCUUAGAGGGACAAGGUGCUUUUAGCACCGCGAAACAGAGCAAUAACAGGUCUGUGAUGCCCUUAGAUGUCCGGGGCCGCACGCGCGCUACACUGAAGGAAGCAGCGUGUAACAACCUUGUUCUAACGAACUGGGUAACCCGUGGAACUUCCUUCAUGACUGGGAUAGGGGUUUGCAAUUGUGCCCCUUGAACGAGGAAUUCCCAGUAAACACUAGUCAUCAGCUAGUGCUGAUUACGUCCCUGCCCUUUGUACACACCGCCCGUCGCUACUACCGAUUGAAUGGUUUAGUGA